RNAcentral lists this long non-coding RNA (482 nucleotides) under Ananas comosus (pineapple). RNAcentral describes it as "long non-coding RNA (ACOM_LNC017945)". The record is from RNAcentral. Lineage: Eukaryota; Viridiplantae; Streptophyta; Magnoliopsida; Poales; Bromeliaceae.
AGCUCCCAAAUUAGCCCCAAAUCUCCUCUAAUGUCUCCUGAGUCACUAUAGGGAUUCCUCUCCCAACACCUCACGCGCUCGCUCGCCGUCGGUUCCUCACACGCUCGCUCGCCGUCGGCUCCUCACGCCUUCGCUCGUCAUCGGCUACCCACGCCCUCGCUUGCCGUUGGCUACUCACGUACUCGCUCGCCGGCAAAAAUACCCACGCGCUCGCUCGCCAGCAAAUGUUCACACGCUCUCCAACGCUAUAGAAGGGCGAACUACUCCGACGCUUCACGAGCCGCUAUCAUAUACAUUUGACUGUGGUCCUCUAUCUCUCUCUUACUAUGUUUUUUUCUUUAUUUAUAUAGUUUUUCCACCACUAUAAGGUGAAAUUUCUGUAAUGGGUCCCGUUUGUAAGCUCUUUCUCUAUUUUUAUCUUCAUCUGCAGAAUAUUUUUAUUUUAUUAAUAUGAUAUUUGUGAUGGGUCCUAUUUGUAUGGA